AUUCUGACUUCGGCAGCACAUAUACUAAAAACUGGAAUGGUACAGAGAAGAUUAGCAUGGCUUCUGUGCAAGGAUGUCAUGCAAAUAUAUGAAGCAUUCCAUAUUUAA
Molecule: small nuclear RNA, 108 nt
Organism: Dipodomys ordii (Ord's kangaroo rat)
Lineage: Eukaryota; Metazoa; Chordata; Mammalia; Rodentia; Heteromyidae
Source: Ensembl